GAAAAUUGGGGGCAUUGUCUUUCUUUUUAGGGAGAAUGUGCCUCCACAAGAUGCAGAAGUAGUUCAUGGAAAUCCCUUAAAACAAGCUAACAAAACUAAACGGUCUUGCCCAUUUGGAAGAGUCCCAGUUAACCUUCUAAAUAGUCCAGAUUAUCAAAUGAAGACAGAUGAGUCAGUUAUGCCAAGUUUUACAAAGAGGCAGAUCUCUAGAACAGAAUGUCGAGAUUUGAUUAUCCCUGCAUCUAAACCAAGUGGAAAUAAUUCCUCUGAAUUGAGAAAUUUAAA
Molecule: long non-coding RNA, 285 nt
Filed under: Cavia porcellus (domestic guinea pig)
Lineage: Eukaryota; Metazoa; Chordata; Mammalia; Rodentia; Caviidae
Description: lncRNA (ENSCPOG00000030108.1)
Source: RNAcentral